AGACACCGCAGCCCGGAGCAGGAAACGGCUCAGGCCUGCGGAGAGGAUGCGGGCGGCCGGGACCCUGAGCGCGGGGCUUCGCGGCUGGAUCCCACCGGGCGCGGGCAGCGGAGCCGGGCGUGCUGCAGUUCGCUGCCCCUCUCCGCAGGGCGCCGCGGCGCGCAGCCUGCGCCUCUCCACACCUGCAGCCCCUUCUCCCGCCGCUGCCUGGCGGAGAAAACGCGCCUCCUAGCCCUUCCCAGGCCUCUUUGGAUUCCGCCCCCCCUUCCUUCUCCCUGCUCCACCUCUUCCCUCCUCGGCCUCCGCGCCUCCCCUCCCCCGACUCUCCGGCCUCCCAUUCAUUCCAUCAGCUCCUUCCUAUUGCCUCUUUUCCGCUCGGUCCCUGUCCCCAGAGCCUCCCCCGCGUGGACACCGCUGCAGUGUCGGGGUUCUCAGCACAUUUAUGGAAGUUUAGGGCCUGGACAGUGGCCCCGAGUCCGGCCUAAGAGCGCAGCCUGGGCUGCUUGCCGGGAAGAGGAAGAUGUCUGUGCUCAGGCGGAUGAUGCGGGUUUCCAGUCGCUCCCUUCUCGCCUUCAUCUUCUUCUCCCUCUCUUGGUCCUGUCUGUACUUCAUCUAUGUGGCCCCGGGCAUCGCCAACACAUAUCUCUUUGUGGUACAACUCGAGAUAUAAUGUUGAGAGAAAAUGUGAAAACAAUAGGUCAUAUGAUCAGACUGUACACAAAUAAAAACAGUAUGCUCAACGGUACAGGAGGAUUCCUCAAUGUCAAUGUAAGUGAAAUAAGUUUUCAUGAAAUUCAUCAGCUCUUCUCCAAGGAUUUAGACAUCGACCAAGGGGGUCAUUGGAGGCCAAAAGACUGUAAACCCGGAUGGAAGGUGGCAGUUCUCAUUCCUUUCCGUAAUCGCCAUGAACAUUUCCAAUUUUUUUCUUACGUCUGAUUCCAUUGCUCCAGAAGCAAAGACUGGAAUUUGUCUUUUAUGUCAUUGAACAGACUGGCACACAACCUUUUAAUGCGAUGCUCUUCAAUGUGGCUUCAAAGAGGCCAUGAAAGACAGUAUUUGGGACUGUGUAAUCUUCCACGAUGUGGAUCAUCUACCUGAAAAUGACCGGAACUAUUACGGAUGUGGAGAAAUGCCACGUCCUUUUGCUGCAAAGCUGGAUAAAUACAUGUAUAUUCUUCCAUAUAAAGAGUUUUUUGGUGGUGUAAGUGGGCUGACAGUGUAACAAUUUAGAAAGAUCAAUGGUUUUCCUAAUGCCUUCUGGGGAUGGGGAGGAGAAGAUGAUGACCUUUGGAACAGAGUUCACUAUGCAGGAUAUAAUGUAACCAGACCAGGGGAGACUUAGGAAAAUACAAGUCAAUUCCUUAUCACCAUAGAGGUGAAGUCCAGUUUUUAGGACGGUGUAAACUACUAAGGUAUUCCAAGGAGCAUCAGUACAUCGAUGGGUUGAACAAUUUAAUAUAUAGGCCAAAAAUACUGGUUGAUUGGUUGUAUACAAACAUAUCUGUAAACCUCAUGCCAGAGUUAGCUCCAAUCAAAGACUAUUAAAAGAAGUGGCUCUCAUGGCAACAUAGACCACAAUGCUGGGUCAUAAAUUUGGAGUACACUCAUAGUGGAGGUCAGUGAUUGGCUGUGUCACAGUGCCCUUUUUUUCUGAGAAGAGCCAUCUGUCCUGAAUGUUUACAGAGUGGGACUAUAUACAGUCACCCUUCUCUCACCUGUCGUCCCUGCUCUGACACAUACCCCCAAGGUGAGCACCGCAGAAACUAGAAGCCACUACUUAAGAUUGGAAGUUAAGAGAGCUCCCUACGAAGAGAAAAUUUUUAUACUAAAAUCUAUAAUUUAAUUCAAGAGAAUGCUUUUAUUUCCAUUUAAACAUUUUGUAUAUAUGUAAUAUAAAUUAAUGUGUGCAAAUUGUUAAAAAAAAUAAGAUGUGUUGCAAUUUUGCAUGUAGUUAUAUCUUUAUUGGACUUUUAUGGACAUUUUUUUAUUUGCAUGAAAAAAACCUCACUAAAUUUAUGCCACUAAACAAAGUUUAACCCUUGUGUGAAAUGAAGGAACUGUCAGUAAUUGACAGCCAACUAAAACAGUAAACUGUUAUACUAGUUUUGAGCUUUAGACCUCAGCCUUUUGUGUGGACGAAGUCACAGCUUUCUUAGGCUUUAAAGGGAAAGAAGAAAGGACUUAAACAGCUUUUCUUCCUACCAGGAUUACCUAUGUUUUUCCUUGUUUGCAAUCUCAUCUGAUUUUGCUAGAAAUCACAACCAUAUUGUUUAUGCAUAUUGCAUGAGUAUUACCAAAAAAAUCUUAAAAGUUGUGAUGUGACAUGAUAUAAAGGACUUCUUUAUGUUAAA
Non-coding RNA from Callithrix jacchus (white-tufted-ear marmoset), 2351 nucleotides. Lineage: Eukaryota; Metazoa; Chordata; Mammalia; Primates; Cebidae. The record is from RefSeq and is a predicted model, not a curated record.